UAGAUUUUAUUUAUUUAUUUGACAGAGGAAGACAGUGAGAGUAGGAAUACAAAUGGGGAGUGGGAGAGGGAAAAGCA
Mustela erminea (ermine) is the source of this 77-nucleotide long non-coding RNA. RefSeq lists it as uncharacterized. The transcript has 3 exons. Lineage: Eukaryota; Metazoa; Chordata; Mammalia; Carnivora; Mustelidae. The record is from RefSeq and is a predicted model, not a curated record.